AUAUCUUCAGGCAGGAGGAAGGUAUCGCGCUCUAGACCAAAGACCUCCUUAUCAAUUGUAAAGUGCAGGGUCUUAUCUUGAGGCACGAGUGUCGUUUCCACAUAACGACAAAGGGUUUGUAAAGAAGAUGGCGCCUCCAUAUUUGAAUAAUCAACAACUUUAGUAACCUGUUUAAAGAAAUAAAAAAAAUGACGUGGUAAUUCAAUAAAAACGACGGUUUAAGGAAUAAACCGUCGUCUGAAAACAAUUUAAACGACGGUGAAAAAACCGUCGUGGUGAAUUAUUUAUUACGUCUUAGAAAAC
Molecule: long non-coding RNA, 303 nt
Filed under: Prunus persica (peach)
Lineage: Eukaryota; Viridiplantae; Streptophyta; Magnoliopsida; Rosales; Rosaceae
Description: long non-coding RNA (PPER_LNC002330)
Source: RNAcentral